UGGGGGAGCUACCAUGCAGUCGAGCGGAAGGCCCUUCGGGGUACUCGAGCGGCGAACGGGUGAGUAACACGUGAGUAAUCUGCCCCAGGCUCUGGGAUAGCCACCGGAAACGGUGAUUAAUACCGGAUACGACAACCGAUUGCAUGAUCUGGUUGUGGAAAGUUUUUCGGCCUGGGAUGUGCUCGCGGCCUAUCAGCUUGUUGGUGAGGUAAUGGCUCACCAAGGCUUCGACGGGUAGCCGGCCUGAGAGGGUGACCGGCCACACUGGGACUGAGACACGGCCCAGACUCCUACGGGAGGCAGCAGUGGGGAAUAUUGGACAAUGGGCGGAAGCCUGAUCCAGCAACGCCGCGUGAGGGAUGACGGCCUUCGGGUUGUAAACCUCUUUCAGCACAGACGAAGCGAAAGUGACGGUAUGUGCAGAAGAAGGACCGGCCAACUACGUGCCAGCAGCCGCGGUAAUACGUAGGGUCCGAGCGUUGUCCGGAAUUAUUGGGCGUAAAGGGCUCGUAGGCGGUCUGUCGCGUCGGGAGUGAAAACCAGGUGCUUAACACCUGGCCUGCUUCCGAUACGGGCAGACUAGAGGUACUCAGGGGAGAAUGGAAUUCCUGGUGUAGCGGUGAAAUGCGCAGAUAUCAGGAGGAACACCGGUGGCGAAGGCGGUUCUCUGGGAGUAUCCUGACGCUGAGGAGCGAAAGUGUGGGGAGCGAACAGGAUUAGAUACCCUGGUAGUCCACACCGUAAACGUUGGGCGCUAGGUGUGGGACACAUUCCACGUGUUCCGUGCCGCAGCUAACGCAUUAAGCGCCCCGCCUGGGGAGUACGGCCGCAAG
Molecule: ribosomal RNA, 833 nt
Filed under: Nocardioides sp.
Lineage: Bacteria; Bacillati; Actinomycetota; Actinomycetes; Propionibacteriales; Nocardioidaceae
Description: bacterial SSU rRNA
Rfam family: Bacterial small subunit ribosomal RNA
Source: RNAcentral